This 45-nucleotide non-coding RNA is filed under the name unclassified sequences. Its description in RNAcentral is "SAM-SAH-Weickhmann-2018 RNA". It matches the Rfam family "SAM/SAH riboswitch aptamer". The record is from RNAcentral.
CCGUCACAACGGCUUCCUGGCGUGAUGGCAUACCCCAAUGGAGCA